GUAAUUAUGAACUUUUUCCCUACUACUGUCCACUGUCUUUGGUUUAGAGCAAAGCAGAAGCCAAGCAGCUAUUUAGCUCUCUAGCAUAUUUCCGUGUGAGAUUUGAUUUAUAUGAGCAUCAAGAAGUAGAGAUCUUAAUUCAGGCCAUUAGCCCGAGGGGAGGUCCUGAGUCGUCCAAAGGUUCUCCAGCGGGCAAACAAGAAAGACAGCACUCCUGCCCCGAUCCGUACACACUGGAGCAUCCAGGGCUGAAUUUCUUUCCAAUGGAAGUUGUUAUUUGAAUCUAGAAGUGUUGCUAAAAUGGAUUCAUCAAGCCAUUUUUUAGUGGAAAGGGCUUCAUGGAUGACGACCUGCUGGAAGUUGGCCGACAGCUGAAAGGAAGAACGACCCUGUUCAGUCCUGCUCAUUAUGCCUGCCAGAGAUCAAGAACACCUUGACCAAUCAGGAGAGGGGAUCUUCAUACAAGGAAAGGGGACUUUUGUACAAGGAGAGGGGACCUUUAUUCACCUUCCUGUACUCUUUCUUCCAAGCUAGUUUUUAACUUCAGGAAAGUAUCACUCUUCUGUGGCUGCUUAAUAUUUAAUUGGCUAUGUAAUGUGGCUAUGUAAUAUUUAAAUGUAGCCAAGUGUUUAGGGAUGAAGGUCUCUGACUCUGCCCCUCACCACACUUGGGACCUUAGGAAAGUUAUUUAACUUCUUUAACCAUCAUUUGUAAACUAUGUUUGUUGGAAAGAAUAAUUCUGUUUUUAAUGUAUAAAGUACAUAGUAUGGGACCUAUAAUAUAAGAGGUGUUCAAUAAAAAGUUAUUGUUAUCGUUACUAAGAUUUUUUUAUACUUAACCACAUAGAAAUGUCAUGUUGUCUGAUUUGUUCACUGCUGUAUCCCCUGGGCCAGUGCCUGAUGUUUAGUAGAUACUACUAAAUAAAUGCUAAAUUGCUACUCAAUAAAUAUUUGUCUGAAUGAAGGCAUGAGGGAAUGAAUGAAUGCAUUCAAGAAAAUGGGUUUCUCACCGUAUAUGGUAUGAAAGCAUACUGCGCAGGGAGUCCAGAAUCUUGGAUUCUGGCUCUGACUGGGCCUUCUGCAAACUGGUCUCCUAUGUGGACUAAAUUUUUCCACCUCUGAGCCUUAUUUUCCUAAUCUUUAAAACCUAUCUUGCAGAGCUGUAACAGUCUUCAAAUAUAAGGUUAUUUGGGGGAGAGCAAUCCCAUGUUUAUACAUAGGAGGAAUUUAAUUGCUCCUUACCCCCCAUGUACUCACAAUCAAGGGUUUAUGUCAACUUUACCUCAGGAAAAUUAGGUUCUAUACGGAAUAGAUUUUUUAAAAAAUUGUCAUUGAAAUAAAUUCCCAAUUAGGAGAAUAUUUUAUCUAGAGAUGGGAAGCAAUGAAGAGACUAAUAGAAUUAGGGUCCACCUUCUUUUAGGGUGUAUGCGAAGGAAAUGGGGAAGGACAUCAGCUGCCGCCUUUCUGUCCUUGCCCUCAGGUUAGUGUUUGAGUUAAGGAACAAGAAAUGAAACAGGGGCUGGCCCCAUGGCCGAGUACUUAAGCUCAUGUGCUCCGCUUCAGCAGCCCGGGGCUUUGCCAGUUCGGAUCCUGGGUGCCAACCUACACACCUCUCAUCAGGCCAUGCUGAGGCAGUGUCCCACAUAGUGGAGCCAACCGGACCUACAACUAGAGUAUGCAACCAUGUCCUGGGAGCUUUGGAGAGAAGAAGGAAAAAAAAAGAAAGAAGUUUGGCAACAGAUGUUAGCUCAGGUGCCGAUCUUUAAAAAAAAAAAAGAAAUGAAACAGACUUUGCAUUUUUCAUGUUUAGCCAAGCUCUUCUGGUUUGCAUAGUCAUAAUACAAUUCAGGGGCUGCCCCGUGGCCAAGUUGUUAAGUUCACACACUCCACUUUAGCAGCCAGGAUUUGCCAGUUCAAAUCCUGGGCAUGUACCUAGUACUGCUCAUCAAGCCAUGCUGUGGUGGCAUCUCACCUAGAAGAACUAGAAUUACCUACAACUAGGAUCUACAACUAUGUACUGGGGCUUUGGGAAGGAAAAAGAAAAAAAGGAAGAUUGGCAACAAAUGUUAGCUUAGGGCCAAUCUUCCUCACUAAAAAAAAGAAAACAAUUAAUAAUAAUAAUAAUAUAAUUCAAAUAACCAUUUUUGAAGUUUUAAUAUUCAGUGUCCUAACUUUGUCUCAGCUAGGAAAAAUGAAUAGCUGAUGUUUUGUACUUUGUAUUUGUAAAUACAUUACAAUGUGGAGACCAGUGAAUUCCCUAAAGCCUUUAAAUAUUUUAAACGUGUAUCUACUAAACUGUUUUAUAGCUUUCUAGGAUUUUUUAAAAAUAUUUUUGACAUCCAAUAAGAUGAUAAGACAAUAUAGUAAAACCAUAUUGGUUUAAAUUCCCUUGAUUGUAUUUUCUAAUGACUACUCUCAAGAUUUCUCUUAUGUGUUGAUCACUUGUUCAAUAGAUUCUCAAUGGGUACUUUUGACUGAUUAAUGUAUAACUUGACCAGGUGCAUUUUUUUUGGUAAAGCCCACCUUGAAAUAUAGUGCAAAUAGUUUGUGCAAGUAAGAUUGGGAAAAAAGAAUGUUAAAAAUACUAAACAAACCAAACUUUAGAAGUAACUCUUCGCACACAAAUAUUUCGCACAUUGAAAUAUCCUGGACCCACAUUAAUAUCCCUUCCAUACACUUCCGUUCCAUGGGGCAUCUUCAGCAUAAGCUCUUGACUGGCCUGGCCCAUUUGUUCCAUCCAUCUCUCUUGAGUUUUGGUGUUUGUCCUUCAUGCCCCUCCUGCCCUUUACCAUCAAGUUUGCAAUCCUCAUAGAGCGUCUUUGUAUUUGUACUCCUGCCCAAGUUUAUGUGUAAGUUGCUGUCUCAUUCCUUGUCUACAUAGCAUAGAGAGAGAGAAGUGUUUUUUUCCAACGUUUUUUCCAAUAAUUUUUUCCAACUAUUUUUCCAAGAAAUAGUUGAGUGUUUAAUGAAGACACUGCUGUUUAAUGUGUUGUCUGCAAUAAUUUUUAUUCUAUUAGUAGGUGAAUUGAAUAGACCAGACAAUAACAUUUUCAUUGUUAACUUUGUAACACAACGAGUAGUAUCUGACAGUUUGUAACACAGCAAUAAAGUAAGAAAACUCAAAAGCAGUCUCUCAAAGUUCAUCAUCAGGCAAUAAUCUCUUCCUCCACCCCUCUCACAGCUCCCUGGAACAAUAACAGAAUACAUUUUUAAAAUGUCAUUGGUACCUAUGAGCCAACUUCUAUUUUCUCUCUACCAACCCUCUGCUCCCUGCCAGUCUGGGUUGGGUCCCAUACCUAUACAUUCACAGAGUACUCUGUUCUUACCUUCAUCCUAGAAUAUGUGACACUAUUUUUCAAGCCCACCGUCCAUUAUCUGCAAUUCCAAAAUCCAAAAACCUCUGAAAACCAAAAGUUUAUUUUACAAUUGGUGCCAAAACUUAUUUGGCAGCAAAGCCUGAUCUGAACUGACAUGAGGCUAUUUAUAAUGUUAUCUUUUACUACAGAAAUGUUGCUGUAUUUGUUUAUAAGAUGCCGCUCCAGGUUCUAUCACGGGUGUUACAUAUUAAAUGUAACAGGUAUUGUUUUACCUUUCUAGAAACCUACAAAUAGUGUUGGUUCUGAAACAUUUGUAGCCCAAGUGCUUUGGAUGAAGACAUGCAGAGCUGUGCUGUCACCUGCUUGCUAGUCUGCACGCCCCACCAGAGGGUGAAGUCUCUAGAGUCAGUAAUUCUGUAAACCUACGUAGCCUCUAGUGGGUCAAAACAAACACAGAACCAAGGAAUAAACAAAGGAAUAUUCACUGUCAAUUUAGCAUAUUUAAAUUUAUCAGCUUCUCUCUGUUCUUGUUGUUAAAGUGUUGCUACUUUGAGAAAGAAGAUCCGGGGCUAACAGUCCGUUUUUUUUUUUCACUGAGGAAGAUUGUCCCUGAGCUAACAUCUGUGCCAAUCUUCCUCUCUUUUGUAUGUGGGUCACUGCCACAGCAUGGCCACCAAUGAGUGGUGUAUGUCUACGCCCAGGAUUCGAACCUGCAAGCCUGAGCUGCCAAAGCAGAGUGCACUGAACUUAACCACUAGGCCAUGGGGCCAGUCCCUAACAGUCCUCUUUUUAACUGAAAACAUAAAUAUUUGGCGAGAUUGAAAAAUCCGUGACAGAACCAAGAAUAAUAUCAUGUUUCCUGGUUUUUAGAUUUGUGUUUUCUUACCCAGAUAAGACCAAUAUUGUUAAUGCCAGAUACUCAAAGCCAAAGGAACAACUUUUUAAAAAUCUUCCUUAAAAAAAGUAAUUUGAAAUCUUACUAGUUAAAAACUUGAAAAAAUUAUCAUAAUGUAGGCAAGGACAGAAUGAAAUGGACAUUCUCAAACAAUGCCAGUAAGAGUAAGGAUUGUUAGAAUCUUUCUAGAAAGCACUUCACAAAACAGAUCAAGAAAGUUAAAAGUUUACAUCUGUAAUAGAAUGAUGGAGAAUAUUUAGCACACAGUACCUAUGAAACAUUUGUGUUCUAGAGGCAUAUCACUUUGAUUAUUCAGAAGAUUCUAUCAAAUGAGUUACUUUCUCUGAAAGCAGCCAGUAUUCAGUUUUGUAAGGCCUGCUAUGAUAAUAUUUUUACAUGAAAAGUUUUUCAGGCUUUCUUUUGUUCAAACAUUCUUUUUAAUCAUUAGAGUUCCUAUUCUACCAUGCUUGAACAUCUCUCUUAUGUAAUAUCCUUUGUUAGUUUGGGCUAAUAAUUCUAUUACUAUAUUACAACUCUAGUAAUUUUUGAAAACCCUGCCCAAACAAUAUGGGCAAUGCAUAGUAAACUUCAUAUUUGUAUUAAACAAAGUUCACACAGAAAAAAAGAAACUACUUUAUGUAGACUAAGUAUGAAGGAUUUUAAUAUGGGAAUUAGAGGCUUCCACAGUCAUUAGAAGGCUUGGGAGAUUAAAGAUCAGGGAAGCUGUUGCCAAUAAUCUCAGUUUGCAUUGCCAAGGUGAUUGGCUCUGAGAACUUUCUUGGAAGCCUCUGUUUCUCUCAAGAAACUCUAGGAAGCUCCUACCAGCUGUAUAAGCUCGCAGCACCAAACAAAUAAUUUCAAGCAGCCACCACUAGCCAUCUCAAUUGUCUAGAGGACCAAAGAAGGUAACCUGCUGGAACUCAUCCAGAAGCACUGUGAAGCUCAUGUCUCCUGUCGGCUCACACAUCUAUCUGUCACUGCCCUGGGAGAACAGCUUCUGCUCCUCCGCUUUCCGACGUCACAUAAGUGCCUGUUGCUGGCAGGGUCUAAUCUGGAACCAUCUAGGAAAUGGGGUUCUGGGAACUAUAGCUCUCAGUUUCUCCUCUGAGAUGCACAGAUCAUAAAAAGGAAAGCAGUGAUGCCAAGUUGACGACAGACAAUCAUGUUUGUUUCAGUGUUGAUGACAACCGCUUAAUAGUUUUCUUUAUUGAUUUUCCAUUCUAUUAGUAUUCUUUCAGUCAAAUUCACUGUUAUUAGUUGACUGAGCCAAGAAAUCUGUCAGCAAGCAAGUAAAGCAGGAGUAUAAUUGAAUUCAUCCUCGACCCACCGUGUCGUCCGUUAAAAAUUAUUGCUAGUUGGUUCUUCAUUCCAGAAUGUCUGAGGCACAAGAAGCUAAAGGAACACAUUUAAUACUAACAUUGACCUUUCUAUGUAAGACAGUAUACAAUUAAGAAAACAGUUUUCACUGAUACGUUUUCUAGAAGGAACUUUGUACCUAGGACUUAGCCUUGGGAAAAGUCUCUAAUGUUCUUCAUCAGCUAAAGAAAGGACAAAUUGUUGGCAGGAUUCUUGUUUAAACUUGUGGCCUCCAUGUACUCAAACUCAAAUUAGUAAUAGACUUCUUUAAAAACUUGUAAAUGUAUUCUGAAUACUUGAUACUUCUCUAAUUCUUUCAACUUUUCUUUGUAUGUUUUUGAUUUUGGCUCAAAGAUAACAUGUUUAUUGUGCAUACGUUUGUAGCUUUCUCUGUCUUUGGAGGAAAUUUUGAGGGAGUAAAAUUUUAUUUUCUAAAACAUCCUCUCAAGAUAUGAAAAAUACCAAACAGGACUUUUUCAUAAAACACUCAUAGCUUAAAUUGAUAAAACAACAAGAAUUUUAUUAAAGUUAGAAUGCCAGUACACAAAUACUGUUAUAAAGAUUAGAGUUAGAAUAUUACAUCUAUUAUGCUACCUUGCAUUAUAAUUCAAAAUUUUGUAAAUAUUUGUUGGUUCAAAAGAGACACAAUAUUCUCCUUUGUGUCAUCUAAUUCAUUCUCUCUUGAUAUUCAGUUUAUGGAAUUUGAUGUCCUUUUAUUUCAUCUCGCACAUUUUCAUCAGGUGUCAAUUUAUUAAACUAUUUUUAUCUAUUUACAAGUUAUUAGUAAUUAUAUAUAAAAACAAGUUUUCACAGUCAUUUUUUAUUUCAGCAUUUUACUAUUGAAAUAAUAAAUACGUAAGUAUAUUUCAAAUGACAUUGAAGUAGGUAUUAAUCAGCAAGGCAGUCCAGAAAAAUGAAUCUAGCAGGACUGAACUAAAUGGCCUAGAAGGAAAUAGGCUUAAGGCAGUUAUAUUGGCUCUGACUCUGUUGCCAUCAUCUAACAAGAGUUAAUGAGAUCCUCAACUAGGGAAGAAACAGAAGAAAUGGAAGGAAGGAACAACUGCAAGAUGUCACAGGGAAGGAGAGUUGCCUGGUUUUGGUAACUGAAUGUAAGAAGCAAGAAGCAAGAGAGAUUAUCAAAGAUUAUUCUUAGAUAUUUUAGAUAGGAGAUAAUAUGGGUGUGAGAGAAAGAGGUGCUGAGAUGGUACUGGAGAGUAUAGAGAAGGCCAAGGACAAGCUUUUGGGGAAUAUCUACCCUUGAGGACUGUGUAGGAAAGUGAUAUGAAAGGAAUGAGAAAAGAAAGAUCAAAGAGAAGCCAUGGGCAAAACUUUAAGGAGACAGUGGGCAGUAAUAUUCAAUGCUGCAGAAAAGACUCUGGAUUUUGUGACUAGGAAGUCUUCCGUGACCUUUAAAAGCAUGGGUUUCCAUAGAGGAUUGUGAACAGAAACUAAAUUUAAAAGGAUUAAGGAAUAAGGGAUAAGGAAAUAUGACAGAGUAUUCUUUCAAAAAGAAUAUGUAAUCAAGUCACGAGGAGACAUGGAAGCACCAUAAAUGCAUAUUGUAAGUAAGUGAAAGAAGGCAACUUGAAAAGACUACAUACACUAUGCUUCCAACUAUAUGACAUUCUAAUAAAGGCAAAACUAUGGAGACAGUAAAAAAUAGGUGGAGCACAGGGGAUUUUUAGAGCAAGGAAACUAUUCUGUGUGAUACCAUGAUGGUGGAUACAUGUCAUUAUACAUUUGUCAAAACUCAUAGAAUAUACGACACCAGGAGUGAUUGUAAUGUAAAUUAUGGAUUCUGGAUAAUAAUGACAUGUCAGUUUAGGUUCACCCAUUGUAACAAAUGUACCACUGUAGUGCGGGAUGUUGAUAGUGGGAGAGUUCUGUGCAUGAGUGAGGGUGUGAGGUAUAUGGGAACCUUCUGUACUUUCUGCUCAGUUUUGCUAUGAAUCUAAAAUUGCUCUAAAAAUAAAGUCUAUUUUUUAAAAAGAAUGUAUAACCAUUUUUCAUUAAUAUAAAAUUCUUUAUUAUAUUCAUGUACAUAUCACUUCUAUUGCAUUAUUUUAUUGCCCUUAAAAAUGUCAACAAAGUAUAACAACUUAUCUUGGGACCUAAUGAAAUAAGUAGGCCCGCAUCAUAAUAAUGUGGUACUUUUCAGUUAAAUAUAGGAUAGAUAGGUAGAAUUAGUUACAUUUCAGAAUGACAGGAUGGUGCUGAAUUUUAUAGUAAGUAUUGUGAACGAAUAAAGAAUUAUUAGAUCUGUCUUUAAAUGUUAAUUGCAUGUUCUAGUAAUUUAUUACUGUGUCAACAAACCAUCCCAAAACUUAGUAGCUUAAAAUGAUAAUUUAUGAUUAUGGUUCACUUUUCUAGAUGUUAACAGAGCUGGACUCUUCUCAGUUGGGGGGGGGGUCCAUCAAACGGUUGCAGUCAGGUGACUGCUAAGGUUGGAGUCAUCUGGAAGCUUCUUUACUCACAUGUCCUGCUCCUGGGCUGGGAUAUCUAGAACAGCUGGGGGCUGAUGGGGCACUUCUGUCUCUUUCUUCUCUCCAUGUGGCCACUCUACAAGUCUAGCUUGGGUUUCACAGCCUGAAAACUUAAGGAGCAAGCAUUCCAAGAGUCUCAAACAGAGACUUCGAACUCUGGGAGCUGGUGCUGGAAGUUAUGCAGCAUCACUUUCACUAUAUUCUAUUUGGCAAAGUUGUCACACACCAGCCAAGAUUCAAGGGAGUAGAUACAGGGAAGGAAGACAUUGAUGGUAGCCAUCUUGGAAACAAGCUACAACAAUUUACUUGGGGGAUAUUUAUAAAUAAACACAAACAUAUAUAGAGAUAAAUAUAUCCCUAUGAAAAAAAUUUAAGAAUAAUUAUAAUGAACAUUGAAGUAUAAAGUAAGAUGUGAAGAUAAGACCGUAAUUAAGACACAAAAUAAGAUUAAAUCCCAGAGGUCUAAUCAAAGACUCUGAAUUUUUUCAGCAAUGUUUCUCAGGAGGUUGAGGACCUGAUGCCUGCACUGACUUUUGAGAUGUCUAAUCAAGCAAGUCAUUCCAAACUAUCUGGCUAUCAGAUAAUUAAUCCAGAACAUCUCUGACUUUCUCACUUAGUUCAAGAACUAAGUUCCAGAAUAUUUUUGGCCAAGGUGUCCUCUACCUUAUAUUCUCAAGGCUGCCUCUGUUUUUUUCCAGUCUGUCUCGUAGUCCUUUGGCCCUUAAAGUCCGCUGCCCACUACACUUCCAGCAGCACACUGGCAAAUCUAUUAUGUAGUCAGAUUCUGCAGCUAAUUAUCACUCAACAAGCUUGAAACUUUUUAGUACUGAGUGGUGAGGACAGAUCUUGUUUCCUUUUAUUCCCUUUACUUUAGUUAAUUUUCUUUUCUUGUAGUUUCCUCUUUGAUUCAAUUUUGGGAAGACUUUCUCUGUCUAUUAUAAUUUACUCUCCUUCUUAGGAAUGACAUUUAUAAAUAAGGUUAACAUAUAAGUUGUUAGUUUAAUUUGAUAAAACAUAUAAUCUCUACCUUAUAAAAUAUUUUGAAUGCCUCAGGAACUUUGCCUUUACUGCACACACAGGCAGAAUGGACUGAUAUUUUAAGAUUUCCUGCAACCAGAAAGGUGUGGAAAGUUUGACUGAUUUAUAUUGUGUUCUGACUUCCUGAGGCAGUUUUCCUAAUGCUAUUCCAUUUUAUUCACCAUGAAACAAAGCUUACUGUUGUUUUACUUUUUUAAAUAAAAAUUCAAUCUAGAACUGUGUAUUUCCUAUUUGGUUCUUUGUCUCUUAAGCUUAAUUUCUACGGAAUUUUAUAGUAGUAACAAUUUUAUUUUAUAAAACUUCUGUUGGGGUGAUGAUUCUGGAAGCAUUUGGGAAAAAGAAUUCAUACAGUAUGGAGGUUAAGAACAUGGCUCUGGAACUAGACUGCGUGGAUUCAAAUCCUAGUUGUGCCACUCACCAGCUCCGUGUAUUCACAGGGAAAGCUUUCUGUGCUUCAGUUUCCUGAAUUUCAAAGGGAAACUCACAGUAGUAAUUGAUACCAAACCUUUUAAUCUCAAGUUUGUGUGUCCAAUGUGCAAUGAGCCACUGAGACAUCAGUGCUUGGAGAUGGAGAAAGGUUUAUUAGAAUUGGCCAAAAUGAGAAGGUGGGAGAAUAGGUUCUCUCAAAUCUGUGUUCACAAAAGAAGAAAACAGGGAGUUCUAUGAAGCUAAGGGGCUUGGGAAGAGCAGUUUGAGAGAAACAAAGGGGAAAUCCACUUUUCUUUCACUCCAGAUAAGCUCCUGGGCAGUCAGACUUCUAAGCACUAACUACAACUGGGGGCUGGUUUUCUGGUGACCACAACUUCCUUGAAAGCGUUCUUUUUUUCUGUGAAACAAGCUCAUAAAUCCUUGUGACCCUUGAGUCACCCCUCAAGUUAAACAAGAAAAUGGCAAAUUAACAAGAUUAACUUCUUUUCAUCUGUGUCUGUGUUGGGAACAAAGUCAAAGAGUAAUCAUGUUCUUAUUGAAAACAUACAGUAACGGUCAGGUACCCAGCUUCAUAAUAACUACUUAAUAUGAUUGUUGUGAGGAUUAAAUGAGUUAGCUCAUGAAAGCAAAUAGAACAAUUCUAUAGUAAUUGAGCAAUAAGUGUUAGCCUUUGUUAUUGUUGCACUGUUUAUUUAGAUUUAAUAGUUUCAUUCUUUGCUAAUUGUAUCUUCUUAAUAAUUUUACUAAAUGCCUAUUGAAGCAACACAUUUUGAAAACUAAGUUGGCAGAUAGGUUUCAUCAACAAACUUGUUUCUAAGCUCCUUUCUGGAGAUUAAAAAAAAAAAAGGCAGGAAAAGUUUGUUUUUCUAGUGCAGCAAUUUAAUCCUUCCAUCCUUCUUCAGAAAAGUUUUAAACCGUGAUAGAGAUACUGCCAUGUACUGAGUGUUAUGUCCUCAAAUUCGUAUGUUGAAGUCUAAUCAUUGUUGUGAUGAUAUUUGGAGGUGGAGCCUUUCAGAGGUAAUUAGGUCAUGAGAGUGGGGCCCUCAUGAAUGGGAUUAGUGCCUUUAUGAGAAGAGACAGGAGAGAGAUUAUCUUCUCUCAGCCAUGUGAGGAUACAGCAAGAAGGCACCCAUCUGUACACCAGGAAGAGGGCUGUCACCAGAGACCAAAUUGGCCUGCACCUUGAUCUCAGACGUCCCAGCCUUCAGAAGCAUGAGAAAUCAGUUUCUGGUUGUUUAAGCCACUUGGUUUAUGGUAUUUUUGUUAUAGCAGACUGAACUGAAUAAGACACAUAUCAAUUUGAAUAAACGCACAGCCUCUAGCUUUGAAGACUCACAGUGAGAGAGUCAGAGACACAAAUAAGGUCUCUCAAGUGGUUUGUAAUGUAAUGUGGAGUGUGUUAUUAUAUUCACGUGAUCAAUAGGAUGGAGCAACCAGCUGCCUGGAAAAGUCAAGGAAAGCUUCUCUGAGCAAUUGACUUUUGCAUGAGUUGAGUCUUGAAUAGGAAUGUGCUAGGCAAAGAUGAGAAAGAUCAUUCCAGACAGAAACUAUCACAUGCACAGUGGUGGAACAGGCUGGAAGUCUGAGGAAUCCUGAGAAGUCCAGACCUGCUGGAACUUACAGUACAUCAUAGGGUUAGAGGUAUAGGAGGCUUAAAGAGUGAGUGGAGUUAUAUUGGGGAGGAUUUCUUUUUCUUUGUAUAUGAAGUCAAAGUGUUUAUAUUUUAUUCUGUAAGUAAGUGGGAGCCAGUAGUAAAAACAUUUUGGUAGUGAUUUUUUAAGCAAGAAUAUAACAUGACCAGCAAGAGAGUGAAGAUAGCUAGUGUCAGAAAGAGGUACGUUUAAAUUCAAACUCCAGUAUAUAACAGCCAUGUUUCCUGAAUAUAUUGCUUAAUCUCCCUUAAUUCACUCAUGUAGAAAUACCCUUAGUAAUUCAACUCUGCUGUGUAACGUGAGUAUUAAAGGAGAAUGCAUUAUAAAUACUUGACAUGGUACUUAGGAUAUAGUUGACACUUUCUCCUUGCUAUGUGGAAAGGUCUCUCUGAGGGCAGUGAGGAAGACAGAUUGGAAUAGAUAGAGAAGAGAAGCAUAGGGACCACCAGCCAAUGUAGCCAACCUUGAGGGCAUAGACUUUAGCAUAUAAUUGGGAAGAUUUCAAAGACAUUUCCCUUCCGAGGUGAAAAUUCUGUGGCUGUUGGAAGUAGCCAGUGAGAGAGAGAAACUGAGACUGACUGAGAUUUUUAGUUUAGGAGGCUUGAAACACCUACGCUUUAGGCACCAUUCUGUGCUGUGGAUCAAUAAGACACAUUUUCUUUUUUAAGUUUCUCAAAAUCUAUCAGGGAGACACUUACUUAUAUGAAUUGAUGCAAAGAUUUACCUAUAUUCUAGGUGGGGUUUUAUAACAGCUUCACCUUCCACAUCUUCUCCAAAUAGGAAGAAUACUUUGUUGUGGACACUUGACUGAACUAUUGUUAAAUUACGUGAGUGCUGUCAGAUCCCAGAAUUUAUUCUUAUUGAUUGUAGUCACCAUGGAUUCUCAGCACUGAAUUUCCCAGAUCUGUCUUUUGUCUCUUAUGUAGAAUAGUUCAAACAUAUAUACCAGUGCGGUUUUUCUUUUUAAGCUCAGAAUAUACUUAGAGGCAUCUCAUUAAGAUUUAAGAGAUGCACUUCAAUUCAUUGCAUGCAAGAUCUUGUAAUCACAAGUCUCAGCAAAUACCAGUUCUUUAAAUGACAUAAGGUUGACAAGAAAUGGAAGGAACCGUUAAGAAUAAUAAAAAAGAAAAAGCUAGCCUACGGUGACAUGUAAUGAAAUGAGACAUUUCCAGAGAAGUAGUCUGUUCUUUUGAUUAUUAAUUUUCUUACUUCCAGACUGACUAAUGAAUAGCAUUUUCAGUUAAUUGUACCUUUUAAAACUUUCUGCUGUUUAUAUCACUGUGACACGUGUAUCCUGAGUACAACUCUUACUAUUAACCCUUUUGAGGCUGGCAGUGGUUUCAGUUUCUUCGUGCUCUUUCGCCUAGUACCCAGAAAAGUAAGUCAUUUUCUCUAAAUUUAUCAUCUUUUCUACUGUGUCAUUGACCUAUCUGAAUAUAUUCUGUUCUCUUAAUCUUUCAGUCUGAAUUAAAUAAAGAAUUCACAUUUGGAUCUUAUUUUAAGUACUCCUCGAAGUUUCAAUUCCCGUUGGAGAUUUUUUAAAGCCUGGAGCAGUGGAGGAGCUAAAAAAAGAAGAGAGUUCAAAUCAAUUCAAGAAAUAUUUAUUGAGCGUCUGAAUGUGCCAGAUACAAAAGAUGAAGAUCUUCUUUCAAGAAGCUCACAGUGUGAUGGGGAGAUGACAUGUGGGGGAAUUAGAACAAUAGUCCAGGGUUUCUUUUGAGGAAGAUUAGCCCUGAGCUAACAUCUGCUGCCAAUCCUCCUCUUUUUGUUGAGGAGGACUGGGCCUGAGCUAACGUCCAUACCCAUCCUCCUCUACUUUAUAUGGGGGACGCCUACCACAGCAUGGCUUGCCAAGCGGUGCCAUGUCCGCACCCCGGAUGGGAACCGGCAAACCCCAGGCUGUCGAAGCAGAAUGUGCGCACUUAACUGCUGUGCCACCGGGCCACCUGAUUUCAUGUUUUUAAAAAUUCUGGUUUUAGCAUGCCAGGCAGCAGGGCCUGAGGCGGUGUUGUUUGGGUGCCAGGGGUCACCUGGCAGCAAGGUCCCCCUGCAUGGGGCAGGCACUCUCCUCUCUCUCCAUGGCCUCAGUCUCCUCAUCUGGUUGUGAUCCUCACCCUGGUGGCCUCCUCAGACCAUGGAGAGCUGAGGACUGUCCUGCAUGUGGCCACAGGCCUGGGUCCACCCAGUGCACCUAGAACUUGAAGGCCCGGCAGAUCUGGAGACUGCAGGAGGAACCAGUGCCUCAGGAAUCAGAACUUUCCCGGGGACGCUUAUUUGCCUGAACCUAUUAGGGACAGGAAGAAACUAAGACAAGUGAAAGAGCACUUCCUCCAAGGCCCCAAAGCCGGUAACAAAAGCAGACGGUGAGAAAUGCAAACAGUACGGAGGAGUAGACAGAGGAAAACCCUAGAGGUGCAGUGAAAGAAACACGGUUCCUGCCCUCCUAGAACUUGCCUGCAACAACCAAGGAAACAGCUAAAUAAGGCAAUGAGGCCAUGAGAGUAAUAGCAAAGGGCCAGACUGCUUAAGGAAGAUCGUGAUUGGCUGUUUGUCUUAAGCCCAGUCAAGACCUUGGAGACUCUUUGUCAUCCUUUACUAGUCAGUCUGUACCUGUUCAGCCACGAACGGCACCACCACUGUGAACGUUGCCUUCCAGGACUGGAAGAUGAAGCCUGGGAGAGCGGCUGGUGGAGAGGCUUGGAAUGACUCCUGUCCAAACUCAGAGGUUGCUUCAGGAAGAAGAAAAACUUGAGGGAGGACGAUUACUGGACCCACGGACACUGGGGAAAUUUCACAAUGAGCAGAAAACUUAGUUCCUGACCAGACCAUGGAACUGGGAAAUAACACUAGACAGACCAGCCUGAAGCAAGAGUAUCUGAUUGCUAUUUCAGAUCCAGGAGGGUUGCUACAGGUAAUGUGUAGAAAGGGGCAAAAGAUUUAUUCCAAGGAGCUAACCCCUUUGGGGCAGGAAACAUGAUAGAUAUGGAUGCCAGAGAGGAGCAUUGCAGAGAAAAAAACUAAAUGUCUUUCACAAUCCUGAUGUGUACAAAAAUCAUAUUAAAACUAAAUUGCCACUGUAUUUGAUAAUGCUGUCCACCGAGCGCUAUUCAUGUAAAACGUUUCUCCACUCAGGUUAAGUGUAUGGGGGCAGAGGAUUGGCUUUCUUUGUUAGAUGUGUUUUUGUGGUCAUUGAAAAUGUUUUGAGUACUUUGACCUUUGCAAAAAAGGAAAGGCUGCCAGUAAAUGUCUCUGUGUUGCUGCUACUUUUGAUCCUGUUAAUUUCUGGAUUGUAUAAAGAAAUAAGUUUAAGAUUUUUUUUAAAAAAGCUUAUUAUGGCC
Long non-coding RNA from Equus caballus (horse), 14507 nucleotides. Lineage: Eukaryota; Metazoa; Chordata; Mammalia; Perissodactyla; Equidae. The record is from Ensembl.